AUUGAACGCUGGCGGCAUGCCUUACACAUGCAAGUCGAACGGCAGCACGGGAGCAAUCCUGGUGGCGAGUGGCGAACGGGUGAGUAAUACAUCGGAACGUGCCCAGUAGUGGGGGAUAGCCCGGCGAAAGCCGGAUUAAUACCGCAUACGACCUGAGGGUGAAAGCGGGGGAUCGCAAGACCUCGCGCUAUUGGAGCGGCCGAUGUCAGAUUAGCUAGNGGUGGGGUAAAGGCCUACCAAGGCUACGAUCUGUAGUUGGUCUGAGAGGACGACCAGCCACACUGGGACUGAGACACGGCCCAGACUCCUACGGGAGGCAGCAGUGGGGAAUUUUGGACAAUGGGGGCAACCCUGAUCCAGCAAUGCCGCGUGCAGGAAGAAGGCCUGGUGUUAA
Molecule: ribosomal RNA, 394 nt
Filed under: uncultured bacterium
Lineage: Bacteria
Description: bacterial SSU rRNA
Rfam family: Bacterial small subunit ribosomal RNA
Source: RNAcentral